This 447-nucleotide ribosomal RNA is filed under the name uncultured bacterium. Its description in RNAcentral is "partial 16S ribosomal RNA". It matches the Rfam family "Bacterial small subunit ribosomal RNA", at positions 29 to 507 of the family's 1533-position model. The record is from RNAcentral.
AACGAACGCUGGCGGCAUGCCUAACACAUGCAAGUCGAACGAACCAUUCGGGGCUAGUGGCGAACGGGUGAGGAACGCGGGGGAAGGAGCCCGUAGGUACGGAAUAACCCAUAGGAAAUAGUGCUAAUACCGAAUAGCUCCUUCGGUGGAUUGACUUAUGGCCAUUGGUUUGUCGCUGUUGGGUGGGCCCGCUUGGUAUUGGGAAGUUGGUGCGGUAACGGCUCACCAAGGCGACGAUCAGUGGCUGGUCUGAGAGGAUGAUCAGCCACACUGGGACUGAGACACGGCCCAGACUCCUACGGGAGGCAGCAGUGGGGAAUAUUGCACAAUGGGCGAAAGCCUGACGCAGCCAUGCCGCGUGAGUGAUGAAGGUCUUAGGGUUGUAAAGUUCUUUCACCAGGGACGAUAAUGACGGUACCCGGAGAAGAAGCCCCGGCUAACUUCGUG